This is a non-coding RNA of Hemiscyllium ocellatum (epaulette shark), 1651 nucleotides long. The record is from the annotation of a RefSeq genome assembly. Lineage: Eukaryota; Metazoa; Chordata; Chondrichthyes; Orectolobiformes; Hemiscylliidae.
AGGGACAGGAGCACACACCAUGAUUACACACAUCCAGCUGAUCUGGCCCCUGGCAUUCUGUGUCGCAGGUAUCAAUGGGGAGAUUAUCAUGACCCAGUCUCCCCCGGUGCUGUCAGUGGAACUGGGCCAGACUGCAACCAUCACCUGUACGGCCAGUCAAAGCAUUAGCAGCUACCUCAGUUGGUACCAGCAGCGAGAAGGUCAGAAACCCUCUCUCCUGAUCUAUGCUGCAACAUCUCGAUUCACAGGAGUCUCCGAGCGAUUCACCGGCAGUGGAUCAGGGACCAGUUACACCCUGACAAUCAGCAACGUUCAGAGUGAGGAUGUCGCUGACUAUUACUGUCAGCAGGAUUACAGCUGGUAUAGCAGCUCCGCUCAACACAGUGAUACAGAGCCAUACAAAAACCUCAAGACACACAGCACCACCUCAUGCACUGACACAUCAAUCAGUUAUAUAAAAUGUAUAAUAAUGGACACACAGUCCCACAGCCUGAACUGACACAUCCACAAUUAGAUACAAAUGAAACUGAACAAAUUACCCCAUGCUGGGAUUGUAACUGUCCAUGACACACUCCAGUCCCUGUGGUGUCCACCGCUCACUGAAGGCCUCAAGUUUCCCUCUGACACUCCAUGACCACGCGUGAAGAACAGCUGCAAGAUUUAAUAUCGAAAAAUAAAUUUCACAAAGCUCCCAAGCCCAGCUGGACACAGAGAGAGAUGGAGACAGAAAGACACAUGAAUGAGGGAGAGACAGAGAGGGGCAGAAAGAAGUUGAGAGUGAACGAGAGACUGGGAGACAGGGAGAGGUUGAGAGUGAUGGGGGGGAAGCAGAGAGCAGAGGUUUUUGUACAGCCUCUGCACUGGGAACUCUCACUGUGGGACACGUUCGGUAAAGGAACCAAGCUCAGACUGAGCCGUGAGAACUCUCAGCCCAAGCUGACCUUGCUGCCCCCCUCCCCGGAGCAGGUCAAUGCCAAGGGCACUGCCACCCUGGUGUGCCUUGCCAAUCACUUCUAUCCCGAUGAGCUGGAGGUGCAGUGGAAGAAGGACGGUGCAGUCAUUUCGGACGGGGUUCAGACCAGCAACUACCUGCGAGCUUCAGACAGCACCUACAGUGUCAGCAGCCUGCUGACCCUCUCUGGGUCUGACUGGGAGUCCGACGCUCGCUUCUCCUGUGCCCUCACCCACGUGACCCUCCCCUCUCCCCUCAGCAAGAGCAUCAGGAGAUCAGAAUGUGUGUAGAGUGUUGGAGACAGUCCACAGAGGAGACACAACUUUAAACAGAACAGGGCUGAGCUGGCAGGACAAAGGUCAUUGUCAGCACUGAAUUUCAACUCUCUUCCUUCUCAGGAUUGCUCAGAGAAACUUCUGAGGUUUGGAUAUUAAAGCAGGUCAUCGCGACAGUGUCAAGAGAGCUUUACACUGUGUCAAACCCCAUGCUGUCCUUGUCCUGGGAAUGUUUGAUGGGGACAGGAUUGCCUUGUUAUGUUAGCUGCACAAAACAAUGUGAACCUCAGAAGUCUCUGCUUCAGUAAACCAGAUCUCCUUCCUGCUCAGCUGCCAGUUCCAGUUUAAGGUUUUGUCACUGUUUAAAGGGACAGGAUUCUCAUGUUAUUGAGAAAAUCUCUCCAAGUGUUUUCCUCAAUCUCCA